CCAGGAUGAACGCUAGCGACAGGCCUAACACAUGCAAGUCAGGGGCAGCACAAGGAGCAAUCUGAGGUGGCGACCGGCGCACGGGUGAGUAACACGUAUGCAACCUGCCUGUAAGCGGGGAAUAACCCGUUGAAAGACGGACUAAUACCGCAUAAUACUAAAUUACUGCAUGGUAAUUUAUUUAAACAUUUAUGGCUUACAGAUGGGCAUGCGCAUGAUUAGCUAGUUGGAGAGGUAACGGCUCCCCAAGGCAACGAUCAUUAGGGGUUCUGAGAGGAAGGUCCCCACACUGGUACUGAGACACGGACCAGACUCCUACGGGAGGCAGCAGUGAGGAAUAUUGGUCAAUGGACGAGAGUCUGAACCAGCCAAGUCGCGUGCAGGAAGAAUGUCCUAAUGGAUUGUAAACUGCUUUUGCAGGGGAAUAAAGUGCAUCACGUGUGAUGUUUUGUAUGUACUCUGCGAAUAAGGAUCGGCUAACUCCGUGCCAGCAGCCGC
This 498-nucleotide ribosomal RNA is filed under the name uncultured bacterium. Its description in RNAcentral is "bacterial SSU rRNA". It matches the Rfam family "Bacterial small subunit ribosomal RNA", at positions 24 to 518 of the family's 1533-position model. The record is from RNAcentral.